UACGUAGGUGGCAAGCGUUAUCCGGAAUUAUUGGGCGUAAAGCGCGCGCAGGUGGUUUCUUAAGUCUGAUGUGAAAGCCCACGGCUCAACCCCGGACUUGCAGUGGGUACGGGCAGACUAGAGUGUGGUAGGGGAGACUGGAAUUCCUGGUGUAGCGGUGAAAUGCGCAGAUAUCAGGAGGAACACCGGUGGCGAAGGCGGUUCUCUGGGCAUGUCCUGACGCUGAGGAGCGAAAGUGUGGGGAGCGAACAGG
Molecule: ribosomal RNA, 253 nt
Filed under: uncultured bacterium
Lineage: Bacteria
Description: partial 16S ribosomal RNA
Rfam family: Bacterial small subunit ribosomal RNA
Source: RNAcentral